This is a non-coding RNA of Rattus norvegicus (Norway rat), 69 nucleotides long. The record is from Rfam. Lineage: Eukaryota; Metazoa; Chordata; Mammalia; Rodentia; Muridae.
GGGGAUUUAGCUCAGUGGUAGAGCACUUGCCUAGCAAGCACAAGGUCCUGGGUUCGGUCCCCAGCUCCG